Molecule: long non-coding RNA, 6633 nt
Organism: Mus musculus (house mouse)
Lineage: Eukaryota; Metazoa; Chordata; Mammalia; Rodentia; Muridae
Product: predicted gene, 53227
Exons: 2
Source: RefSeq, a predicted model, not a curated record
GUGGGCUGCUGUGUGGGUGGAGUCAUAGACAGCUGUGGGCUGCUGUGUGGGUGGAGUCAUAGACGGCUGUGGGCUGCUGUGUGGGCCUUAGGAAUCAAACCAGGAUCCUCUGGAAGAGCAGGGAGUGCUCUUCACUGCUGAGUCAUCUCUCCAGCCUCGAGGACCAGGUACAGACAACCAGCGACCAAUCCUGUUUGUACCAGAGCCACUUGAUGCCAGCCCUCCCUCCUGGACCACCCCUUCCUCUGUAAAUGUCUGCCUCCACCUCUCCUCGCCCUCUCCGCCCUGACUGACCUGGAUGUCUCUUCAAAGGACAAGGCCCACUUCUCUGCGUGGGCUCUGUGGGACGACACACUGGCUUCUCUGAGAUAUCGUCUCUUAGAUGGUAGCUAACACAAUGACAGUGGACACACGUGAGAACCCAGCAGCAUGAGAGUCGGGCUGGCUGCUGGGAAGGGCCCUGGACUUGGGAUGCUUAAGAGACAAGAUGGACAGAUCUGGUGGGGAGUUGGUGAUUGGAUAGUAUGUGAGGUUGGGGGUGGGGUGGGCUUGCCACCCAAGGGAGCUGGGGCUUCUGAGGGGAAUUAGGUUCAUAGAGGGCAAGUUUCUGACCUUUACCAGAAACUUCGUGGGAACCGGGCCCUUUCUGCCACUGUUGCGAGCAGGAACCCCAGAUUCUAGGCUCUUGAUUCAGAGUCUGAAACGUGUAGUCUUCUCCUUCCCUGGACCCCCUUUUCCCCUCCCUCCCUCCCUCCCUUCCUUCCUCCUUCCCUCCCUCUUUCCUCCCUUCCCUCCUCCCCCUUUUCUCUGAAUCGUGACCCCAUAUAACUGGCUGGCCUUUAACUGGCUGUGUAGCUGACAAUAACCCUGAACUUCUGAUCUGCCUGCUUCCAUCCCCCAAGCGCCGGGAUUACAGGCCUGCACCGCCUCAUAUGGUUUAUAUAAGGCUGGGAAUCGAACCCAGGGAUUCACGCAUGCUAGACAAGUGCUUCACCAGCUGGGUUAACAUCCCUAGCCCCCAAGCUUAUAGUCCUGGAGGCGCCCAGACCUGAGCUCGGUCCUCAGUAGGAGAUAGAGAACAGUUCCAUGAUACAGCCCAGGUCUCAGAAAGAAAGAAAAGGAAGACAGGAUCUAGGAGUGGGGGUCACACAGGUGUCAGAGGGGCUCCAUUGGUUGAGGAAUAGAAGUUCAGUGUCACCUGGUUUGGUUAUAGGAAGUUAUGAAGCUAUCUGCCCUCCUGGGUCUUUCCCUCGUGCACACAAGAUGAACAUCACCAUGCUGAAAGUGGAGGAAUAGAGACUGCCACUUUCCCAGGUUCCAAAGAAUGGAGGGCUCUGUGAUUCCAUCAGUAGGUCCUCAAGUUGCCAGUCUGCCUGCUCCAGAGAGGACCACCCUCCACUGCCUCAGGGGGCUGCUGAUGCCCUUCCUACUUUCUGGAAGACCCUGGAGCUGCAUGGAAUGGGAAUGUCUGGAAGUUCUCGGGUUAUGGGAGGUGUCAGCCUUCGCGCAUCAUUACCCAGGGCCGGCAGAGGCAGCUGUGAACUCUGCAAACCCUCUUCUCACCUCCAUUAGCAGAUUGCUUUGGGGGCGGGGAACCCAACCAGAAAUAUUCAGCACACAGCCUUGGGCUCCUGCCAUCAGGCCUGGGCUGCCAGCUGUGUUUCCUCUGAAGAGAUCUGGCACCCACUAUUUUGGGGUGAAGCAAACCAAACCAAAGGGUUCCAGUAACUGAGGCAACCCCAAAGGGUCAUAAGAGCAUGUGGGCUUGGGACAACUGUGGACAAAGGGGCAUAAGACAUAGCCCAUGAGAAGUGCAUGUGUGGUAUUUUGUGAUGCUGGAAAUGGAAGGUAGUCAGGCUGGAGAUGGCGAUAUGAGGAAGCCAGUUGAUUCCAGCUUAUUCAUCAGCUUCUACUGACAGGUGGCAGCUGGGGGCCAAGCUGACGACUCUGAAGUGCAGGUUCAGUAUAACAUAUACUGCAAUCUAUUAGUAAUGUCUGUCCUGGGCAUAGGAAUGGAAAGUGGAGGCAACUGGGAGAUUUGCUGUCCUCAAGUUUCAGACUGGUUUAGAAGUAAGAUGGGAAGACAAGCAUCACCUUCCAGAACAUUCCUUUGGAAGUGUCCUGAAGAAGCUGUCCUGUGCUUCUUCAGCACUCUCUCUUAUCUCAAGUAACUUCUAGAAUAGGAGAAACCAGGAUGCUGGUGUGAACUCUAUAUAGCAACCAGGACAGACUUCCCUCAAGAUCUGUGAGAUAAUUGGCUCUGAGAGGAAAGCAAAGUAGAGGGAGAGGGGUAUUCUGGGAAUGGUGUGGGGUGGGAUGGAAGGAGAGGAUGGAGUGAACUUGGAAGGUGGGGAAGGGCUUCCAGCAAGGACUUCACACUGUACUUGGCUUCAGCUCUCCUCUAGGCCACCUUCAGUGUCUUGCCUUCUCUUCCUCCCAUUCAGGCUGCACUGGAUGCUCGAGCAGAGCCCAUCCCUUGUGUCCCAAGAGACAUUCCCUCCCAGGUCUGGGGCCCGGUGUGGACCUGGCAUCUUAGCAGGGCGCCCAGCAUCUGCGUCUCAGUCUGUGUGGGCUGUCUGCGGUUGCCCAGGUUGGGGCUCCCAGCCCCAUUCUCCACAGUGUGUGACUCUUACCCACCAGAGCUCUGGCAGCCCGACCCCAGCUCCUGAGGCCAUGCCCCAGUGUUUGGGUAGCUGCCUUCCCUUUUCUGGAGGUGAAUGCAGGGCAGGGAGCAGCUUCCCUCAUCUCCUUUAGCCCCACAUUAGGGGGGUGUCAGCACAGUCAGCAAUCAGCCAGGCCCCAUGCAGAUGGGGCACAGCAGAAUCAGCCUGAGGGUGGCAGCUUUUCUUUCUGUUUCUCAUCUUCCUGUUGGGUUCCAUGAAGGCAAGGCCAGAGUGGGCUGCUGUGAGGGGGUGUUGUUGGUUAUUCUUUUUAAGAGUUCAUUACUUUCCCUUUUGUGUAUUGAGCAUUUUGCCUGCAGCUAGGUAUGGCCACCACACGAGUGCAUUGCCUGCAGAGGCCAGAAGAGGGCGCCAGACACCCGGAGCUGGAGUUAACAGAUGGUGUGAUCCACCAUGUUCUAAGUGCUCUUACCCACAGAACCAUCUCUCCAGAUGUCCUGUUCUGUGUUUCUUCAGUACUAUCUCUUAUCUCUAGUAACUUCUAGAACAGGAGAAGCCAGGAUGCUGGUGUGAACUCUAUAUAGCAACCAGGACAAUCUUCCUUCAAGAUCUGUGAAAUAAUUGGCUCUGAGAAAAGCUAAGUGUUUUUUCCCCCCUUUGAGAGAGGGUCUUACUAUGCAACCCUGGUUGGCGUGAAACUUGCUGCAUAGACCAGGAUAGCCUCAGAUUCACAGAGACUGUUGGCCCCUGUCUUCCAAGUGCAUGAGCCACCAUGAUCGGCCUUCUUUAUCUUUUUCAAAGGGCUGACCUCUCUUUGUCACUUCCAGCAUGCCCUCCUCACAUCCCUCUGUCCUUCCUUCCCUCCAUUAUAGACUCGCCCACACACCCACUCACUCACCCACUUAUCCACCCACCCAGGCACUCACCCACUCAUGCACUCAGGGGGCUGACUGGACAGAUGGUCCACACUGUAGAUAGAGUCUUUGAUGCUCAGGCUUACAGAUGGCUUAAUGCCAAAAGGAGCAGAGUUUGGGAAGUAGAUGGAGGGUCCCUCCAUGUGCCCUUCAUAAUCCUGCCAGAGACACCAUGACACAUAUGUUUGUGCGAGCACAUACACAGAUACACACACAUGCAUACACAUAUUUGCAUGUGCACACAUGCAUGCACACAUGGGCAUGCACAUAGACCCACAUGUGCAUGCGCACGCGCGCGCGCACACACACACACACACACACACACACACACACACACCAUUUCCUGGUAGCUGGAUGUGGGACAGCCAGGCCUCCACUUACUUCCUGUCACAGGACCUGUCUCCUGGGCCCGUGUGGGCGAUGACGUAGUAAAUGAAGCUCAGAGUGGCUGUCAGUUUAUGGAUCCUAUGGAUCCUCUCCCUGAUUUCUCCGAGGGUUCUUGGGGGUUCCUGGGGUGGGACCCCAAAGUGUUCUACUGCACUUUACAGAGGCUGCUGCAGACCUAGGGGGCUCGUGAUGGCUCAGAAAGAAGACUGUAUGAAGUACACAAUGUAUUUCCACACUCGGGAAGCUGAGACAGGAGGAUUGCUAUGAGUUUGAGGUCAGUCUGGCUAAAGCGAGACUGUCUCGAAAGAAAGAAAGAAAGAAAGAAAGAAAGAAAGAAAGAAAGAAAGAAAGAAAAAGAAAGAAAGAAAGAAAAAACCAAAAGUGCACGGCCCAAUACCAAUGGGAACAAGUCUAUACAGGAGCCCACUGCUCUGACACUCUCCCUUCCUGGCAUAGCUCUGGGCAUGGCUCUGGGCUGGGAUCCUUAGGCUAUGAUGAAGCCUAAGACAAGGGCUCUCCCUGCAAAGGACUAAGCAGCUGGGAAGGGCAGAGAGCUAAGCAGAACAGGAAUCAGAUGCCAAAGACAAGGUAUGGGGAGACCAAUGAGGUCAAGCCCCUAGCCAAGCCAUCGGGGGGGGGGGGGUGGCGCUGAGCCGUUCCCAUGAUCCAAUGGGAGUUGGGAAGCUUCUGGAGUCAGAAUCUCUUUUCUACUCCAUCUAGACACUUUCCUACCUCAGACCUCCAGGGAGCUCCAUCUUCUCCCAUGGGUAUUGUGGUCCUUUACAUGGGAGUCAAGUGGGUGGCAGAUGCCUGCGCCCAGGUUCUCAGUAUGUGUCUGUCUUACUCAGAGCUUCACCCCUGCACCAGACAUUGCUUCCUGGCACUCAGGGUAGCUUGGUUUAGAUUUUGUUUCCCUUCCCCUUCCUUCCCUUCACUCAUGAACCCCAAAGGUCACUCCAGAACCCUGUCCAGCUGAGUCGCUGAGGCAGACACCUAUAGGAUAAAUAGGUUCCGGGUAAGGCUGAGAAAGUCCAUAGCUACACGCUACUCAGAGCAUGCUUUCUACAGUAGACCUUUCUAGAAGCCCUGGCAGACAGGCAUGGAGCUGAGUUAUCACGCUCCUGAUGGUAUUUAUUGAGCCGUCUGUGAUCUCUUGGUUCUGUGGAUAACAGUCUUAGGAACAGGGCUGCAGAAGGUUGCAGUAGGCCUUCCACUCAGAGGCACCCCGGAAGGGGGUAGAAGGAGUCAUAACAUCUUCCCAUGGUCAUCUUCUUAACAAGCUCUAUAUGGGACUCCCCGGGUACAGGAAGGAACAGAACCAGGGAAGCGGCUGAGGGAGCUAUUCAAAGCUAUGGAUGCAGAACUGUAGAGCAGACCCAAAACUGUUUCCCAGAACCCAAUAAAAGGGACAACUACGUGACCCAGUUGACAACCUAUAUAUUUUGGAUUAGUUAUAAUUGUUGUUAUAGAUCUCUCAAAAACUACACUGCAACCUGACAGCUGAAUGCACAUGGUCUUCCCAGGCCGGGGUAAGUGUUCUAUACUCCCUACUUGCCUGUCCUUUACAGACAUUACUAGUAGAUAACAGCACUCUUUCCCCUGGAAAUAGCCUGGAGAUAGCUUCAGAAUCUUUCCUAUGAUUGAUUGUUUUCUUGACGGAUAAGGGGAAAUUGCUCACAGUAUGGCCCUCUCAAGGGCUGUCAGAGCCCAGGCAGAGAUAUGAGAUAAGUGGUUUGUAGGGAGCUUGGUCACAUGUGUAAACAUAUUUCAGGAUUCUAGGAGACAGCUUAUUAAGAUGGUAAAUAUGGUCAUAAGUAUGGGAUAAACUUACAGACACUGAGUGUAUUUUCUUGCUCUAUCCACUUACAAGGCUCGGAUCAACAAUAUCAAGAUAACCAUGUGCACACAGAGGAGCCCACAUCUUCACUUUUAAAUAUCACUUUCCUCUCAAAGUAACCAGGGCCUUUGAAGAAAUGGUGGAUUCUAGGGAAGUAGAGAUAUGCUUGGAAUUCUGUGUUCAGAACGUGGGGGAAACGCCCACAGAGUUUUGGCUCAUUUCACAUGGUGCAGAAGCUCACCAGCCAUCCAGGUCUGAGUCAACCCCGGCAUCACAACAGACCAUCUGGCAAUCCAUAGAACAAAAGAGGAGACUAUUAGUCUAUAAUAGUGUGAAAAUAAACAAAGUAACUGAAGGUUUGAGGAGGGAUGGUACAAAGUACCCACUCCCAGAAUACUUACUAACUAAAGAGGGGGAGAGGCUAACUGGCAUAGGGACAGACCAUGUCAUCUUAGUCAGUGUGACCCCUAGGCCAUCUGGCACUUGGGGCCCCUUGGUGCAGUCGGAUAUGAAGCCACAAAGCCAGAAUCUCCUCAGGAGGAGACGCUGACAUCCUCCCAAAUGAUGGGCACUCUCUGAAACAAUGAAUCCGUGACUCUCAAAGAUGGCAGAGACACAGAAGCCAAGGACAGAGUGAAGAACAAACACUGCAGAUCGAAGCGGAUGCCAAGGGCAUUGGGAUGGCUGGUGGGACACACUGGAAGGCUGGGGACACCAGGGAAGUGUGCUGCAGGAUCCUGAUCUGGGAGCUCUGAGAAGGCUAUGUAGGGGAACGCUAAGGUGUCCAGGGGCCAAGGAGGCUGGCAACUUGCAAAUGAUCCACAGUGUCUUCUAAUUUUCAGCAAAUUUGUGACCACUUUAAAAUUUUAAAAAA